RNAcentral lists this unclassified non-coding RNA (364 nucleotides) under Pseudotomentella sp. RNAcentral describes it as "partial contains 5.8S ribosomal RNA, internal transcribed spacer 2, and large subunit ribosomal RNA". The stretch from base 1 to 52 matches the Rfam family "5.8S ribosomal RNA", at positions 103 to 154 of the family's 154-position model. RNAcentral also lists the same sequence under 1 other name. Lineage: Eukaryota; Fungi; Basidiomycota; Agaricomycetes; Thelephorales; Thelephoraceae. The record is from RNAcentral.
AACGCACCUUGCGCUCCUUGGUAUUCCGAGGAGCAUGCCUGUUUGAGUGUCAUGAAAUUCUCAACUACCUUUUUAGCAUUUAUGUUUCAAGGGUGAAGUUGGAGUUGGAGGAUAAUUGCUGGCGCAACUUAGGUUGCUUGUUGGCUCCUCUUGAAUGGAUGAGCUUUUCUAAUGGAUCAUAGCUCUCAGUAACACUAAUGUGAUAAUUAUCUACGUUAGAUGUGAAAGCUUUUAUGAGUAGAGUGACUUCAAUUAUGGAGAAGCUCCCUAUAGAAAAGGUGUUGUCUUGGGAAGACCCCUUGACUUAUUAACAUAUAAUGACAAAUCUGACCUCAAAUCAGGUAGGACUACCCGCUGAACUUAA